UUGUCUCAAAGAUUAAGCCAUGCAUGUCUCAGUACAAGCCGAAUUAAGGUGAAACCGCGAAAGGCUCAUUAAAUCAGUUAUGGUUCCUUAGAUCGUACCACACUUACUUGGAUAACUGUGGUAAUUCUAGAGCUAAUACAUGCAAACAGAGCUCCGACCGGAGACGGAAGGAGCGCUUUUAUUAGAUCAAAACCAAUCGGUGGCGGGUUCGCCCGUCAUCGUACAACCUGGUGACUCUGAAUAACUUUAAGCUGAUCGCACGGUCUCGCACCGGCGACGCAUCUUUCAAAUGUCUGCCUUAUCAACUGUCGAUGGUAGGUUCUGCGCCUACCAUGGUUGUAACGGGUAACGGGGAAUCAGGGUUCGAUUCCGGAGAGGGAGCCUGAGAAACGGCUACCACAUCCAAGGAAGGCAGCAGGCGCGCAAAUUACCCACUCCCGGCACGGGGAGGUAGUGACGAAAAAUAACGAUACGGGACUCAUCCGAGGCCCCGUAAUCGGAAUGAGUACACUCUAAACCCUUUAACGAGGAUCAAUUGGAGGGCAAGUCUGGUGCCAGCAGCCGCGGUAAUUCCAGCUCCAAUAGCGUAUAUUAAAGUUGUUGCGGUUAAAAAGCUCGUAGUCGAAUUUGUGUCCCGCGCCGCCGGUUCAUCGUCCGCGGUGUUAACUGGCGUGCCGCGGGACGUCCUGCCGGUGGGCUUAGCCCUACGGGGCGGCCCAACUCAAUCCCGCCGCGGUGCUCUUCACUGAGUGUCGAGGUGGGCCGGCACGUUUACUUUGAACAAAUUAGAGUGCUUAAAGCAGGCUAAAACUUCGCCUGAAUACUGUGUGCAUGGAAUAAUGGAAUAGGACCUCGGUUCUAUUUUGUUGGUUUUCGGAACCCCGAGGUAAUGAUUAAUAGGAACGGAUGGGGGCAUUCGUACUGCGACGUAGAGGUGAAAUUCUUGGACCGUCGCAAGACGAACAGAAGCGAAAGCAUUUGCCAAAAACGCUUUCAUUGAUCAAGAACGAAAGUUAGAGGUUCGAAGGCGAUCAGAUACCGCCCUAGUUCUAACCAUAAACGAUGCCAGCUAGCGAUCCGCCGACGUUCCAUUAUAUGACUCGGCGGGCAGCUUCCGGGAAACCAAAGCUUUUGGGUUCCGGGGGAAGUAUGGUUGCAAAGCUGAAACUUAAAGGAAUUGACGGAAGGGCACCACCAGGAGUGGAGCCUGCGGCUUAAUUUGACUCAACACGGGAAACCUCACCAGGCCCGGACACCGGAAGGAUUGACAGAUUGAGAGCUCUUUCUUGAUUCGGUGGGUGGUGGUGCAUGGCCGU
Molecule: ribosomal RNA, 1316 nt
Filed under: Tenebroides sp. G0184
Lineage: Eukaryota; Metazoa; Arthropoda; Insecta; Coleoptera; Trogossitidae
Description: SSU rRNA
Rfam family: Eukaryotic small subunit ribosomal RNA
Source: RNAcentral